Molecule: ribosomal RNA, 433 nt
Filed under: uncultured bacterium
Lineage: Bacteria
Description: partial 16S ribosomal RNA
Rfam family: Bacterial small subunit ribosomal RNA
Source: RNAcentral
AACGAACGCUGGCGGCAUGCCUAACACAUGCAAGUCGAACGAGACCUCCGGGUCUAGUGGCGCACGGGUGCGUAACGCGUGGGAACCUGCCCUUAUGCUUGGAAUAACACCCUGACAGGGGUGCUAACACCGGAUAAUGUCCUCGGACCAAAGAUUUAUCGCCCUUGGAUGGGCCCGCGUUGGAUUAGCUUGUGGGUAGGGGAAAAGCCUAUCAAGGCGACGCUCCAUAGCUGGUUUGAGAGGAUGAUCAGCCACACUGGGACUAGGACACGGCCCAGACUCCUACGGGAGGGAGCAAUGGGGAAUACUGCAACAUGGGCUGAGGCAUGAACCAGCAAGGCCGCGUGAGUGAUGAAGGCGUUAGAGUAGUACAGCUCUUUUACCCGGGAUGGUAAUGACGGUACCGGGAGAAUAAGCACCGGCUAACUCCGUG